CUACGCCAAAGCAAUACCUAUAUAUAUACAUAUAUAUAUAUUGUUUCUUUUAUUACAACUUUUUACUACUUUAUAAAUUAGGUACAAAACAAAAUCACGCAGAGAAGUGUAAAAUAUGUAAUAAUAUUUUAAAACCAAAAAGAUUAUAUAAUUUUUUUAUUAAAAGUACACUAAAAAUCAUGUUUUUAAUAAAAAAAUACAGUGAUAAACUAGACAAGUAUAGCUUAUAAAAUGCCAUCGUCAUCUUUUGCAAAUAGGCUAAGGUAUGGUUAUUUUUAUUUACUGCAAUUAGUCUAUCUUUAAACCAUUUUCAUGUCAUACAUCCAAAUUAUCCGACUCGUCAAAGUUUAUUACAUAUUAUGUACCAAAAACAUUUAUAACAUAUUAUCGGAUAAUAUUUAGCUUCAUAUACUUAUAGAUACUAACAAUCAAUUUGCAUUCACUUCAUAUAUAUUUAAACUAUUCAACGCAUAUACUAAAAAUAAUAAAUAAAAUUGCCAGUUAAUUAGUAGUACUGAAUGUGAAAUAACAGUUAAUAAAUAUAAUAUAAUUUUUUUUUAAUAGAUAAAAGUCUGGAAACUUACAUGGAAGUAAAAUACAAAACAUCAUACUAUAUAAAAUAAUAGUAAUAAAUAUUGAAAAGAAUAUGAGGUUCUUACAAUAGUUCAGGAUAUGAAGCGAAACUCGAGGAGCUCUGAGACCGAUGUCUCUGUGAAGGCCGAUGAACAUUCACUGCCAAUGAAAGAGCAGCGACAAAACAUAGAACUAAAGUUAUAAACCGGAGAACCAAACCGGAAACAUGAGCCGACGCUCGCCGUGAGCUGAACCUCGAUGCUGAUGGCGUUACGGAGUAUGCCAAUGAAGACGGCGUCGGAACUGACGGGGCCUGAUGAGAGAUUGGCGACGCCGUUACUGAACCCUCCGACGAUGGUCCGUAGGUGAUCGACACCACUACGUGAUCUUUAUGUUCUUUCAUCAACUUUGAGUGUCACAAUAAUAAUUGAAGAGAAAUUGAUUAAUUUGUAUGUUUUUUCUUCCUUUGAAAUAUAUAUUAAAUAUUGAUGGGAUUAGUUGAUUUUAAGUUAAAGAUUUACAUGAAGUUUCAGCGAAAGUU
Brassica rapa (field mustard) is the source of this 1114-nucleotide long non-coding RNA. RefSeq lists it as uncharacterized. NCBI's taxonomy places the organism in Eukaryota, Viridiplantae, Streptophyta, Magnoliopsida, Brassicales, Brassicaceae. The record is from RefSeq and is a predicted model, not a curated record.